UACGGAGGGUGCAAGCGUUGCUCGGAAUUACUGGGCGUAAAGCGUACGCAGGCUGUUCACUAAGUCGGGUGUGAAAGCCCGGGGCUCAACCCCGGAAUUGCGCCCGAAACUGAUGAACUUGAGUGCGGGAGAGGGAAGCGGAAUUCCUGGUGUAGAGGUGAAAUUCGUAGAUAUCAGGAGGAACACCGGUGGCGAAAGCGGCUUCCUGGCCCGACACUGACGCUCAUGUACGAAAGCGUGGGGAGCAAACAGG
This 253-nucleotide ribosomal RNA is filed under the name uncultured bacterium. Its description in RNAcentral is "partial 16S ribosomal RNA". It matches the Rfam family "Bacterial small subunit ribosomal RNA", at positions 524 to 776 of the family's 1533-position model. The record is from RNAcentral.